GCUCAGAUGUCCGAGUGGUCUAAGGAGCCGGAUUCAAGUCCCGGUCUAGCAAUAGGCGAGGGUUCGAAUCCCUCUCUGAGCA
RNAcentral lists this transfer RNA (82 nucleotides) under Rhodotorula toruloides. RNAcentral describes it as "tRNA-Leu (CAA) cove score=47.07". It matches the Rfam family "tRNA". Rfam says of the family: Transfer RNA (tRNA) molecules are approximately 80 nucleotides in length. Lineage: Eukaryota; Fungi; Basidiomycota; Microbotryomycetes; Sporidiobolales; Sporidiobolaceae. RNAcentral also lists the same sequence under 2 other names. The record is from RNAcentral.